This 482-nucleotide ribosomal RNA is filed under the name uncultured bacterium. RNAcentral's name for it is "partial 16S ribosomal RNA". It matches the Rfam family "Bacterial small subunit ribosomal RNA", at positions 31 to 507 of the family's 1533-position model. The record is from RNAcentral.
AUGGAACACUGGCGGCAUGAUUUACACAUGCAAGUCGAACGGUAACAGGCCGCAAGGUGCUGACGAGUGGCGGACGGGUGCGUAAUGCAUCGGAACGUGCCCAGUCGUGGGGGAUAACUACUCGAAAGAGUAGCUAAUACCGCAUACGAUCUAUGGAUGAAAGCGGGGGACCGUAAGGCCUCGCGCGAUUGGAGCGGCCGAUGUCAGAUUAGGUAGUUGGUGGGGUAAAGGCUCACCAAGCCAACGAUCUGUAGCUGGUCUGAGAGGACGACCAGCCACACUGGGACUGAGACACGGCCCAGACUCCUACGGGAGGCAGCAGUGGGGAAUUUUGGACAAUGGGCGCAAGCCUGACCCAGCAAUGCCGCGUGCAGGAAGAAGGCCUUCGGGUUGUAAACUGCUUUUGUACGGAACGAAACGGCUCUGGUUAAUACCCGGGGCUAAUGACGGUACCGUAAGAAUAAGCACCGGCUAACUACGUG